RNAcentral lists this transfer RNA (75 nucleotides) under Zootermopsis nevadensis. It matches the Rfam family "tRNA". From Rfam's summary of the family: Transfer RNA (tRNA) molecules are approximately 80 nucleotides in length. Their secondary structure includes four short double-helical elements and three loops (D, anti-codon, and T loops). The record is from Rfam by way of RNAcentral. Lineage: Eukaryota; Metazoa; Arthropoda; Insecta; Blattodea; Termopsidae.
GCCACGGUGGUAUAGCGGUUAGAACGCUGGCCUUGUAAUCAUGGGGGGUCUCGGGUUCGAUUCCCGGCGGUGGCC